UGCCACAAAAUCACCAAAGCCUACUGUGGU
RNAcentral lists this non-coding RNA (30 nucleotides) under Mus musculus (house mouse). The record is from RNAcentral. Lineage: Eukaryota; Metazoa; Chordata; Mammalia; Rodentia; Muridae.